This 440-nucleotide ribosomal RNA is filed under the name uncultured bacterium. Its description in RNAcentral is "partial 16S ribosomal RNA". It matches the Rfam family "Bacterial small subunit ribosomal RNA", at positions 338 to 795 of the family's 1533-position model. The record is from RNAcentral.
CCUACGGGGGGCAGCAGUGGGGGAUAUUGCACAAUGGGGGGAACCCUGAUGCAGCGACGCCGCGUGGGUGAAGAAGCGCCUCGGCGCGUAAAGCCCUGUCAGCAGGGAAGAAAAUGACGGCACCUGAAGAAGAAGCCCCGGCUAACUACGUGCCAGCAGCCGCGGUAAUACGGAGGGGGCAAGCGUUAUCCGGAUUUACUGGGUGUAAGGGGGGCGCAGACGGGGAUGCAAGCCAGGAGUGAAAGCCCGGGGCCCAACCCCGGGACUGCUCGUGGAACUGCGUGGCUGGAGUGCAGGAGGGGCAGGCGGAAUUCCUGGUGUAGCGGUGAAAUGCGUAGAUAUCAGGAGGAACACCGGUGGCGAAGGCGGCCUGCUGGACUGCAACUGACGUUGAGGCCCGAAAGCGUGGGGAGCAAACAGGAUUAGAUACCCGAGUAGUC